RNAcentral lists this ribosomal RNA (496 nucleotides) under uncultured bacterium. RNAcentral's name for it is "partial 16S ribosomal RNA". It matches the Rfam family "Bacterial small subunit ribosomal RNA", at positions 29 to 507 of the family's 1533-position model. The record is from RNAcentral.
AUGAACGCUGGCGGCGUGCCUAAUACCUGCAAGUCGAGCGAACGGACGAGAAGCUUGCUUUUCUGAUGUUAGCGGCGGACGGGUGAGUAACACGUGGAUAACCUACCUAUAAGACUGGGAUAACUUCGGGAAACCGGAGCUAAUACCGGAUAAUAUUUUGAACCGCAUGGUUCAAAAGUGAAAGACGGUCUUGCUGUCACUUAUAGAUGGAUCCGCGCUGCAUUAGCUAGUUGGUAAGGUAACGGCUUACCAAGGCAACGAUGCAUAGCCGACCUGAGAGGGUGAUCGGCCACACUGGAACUGGGACACGGUCCAGACUCCUACGGGAGGCAGCAGUAGGGAAUCUUCCGCAAUGGGCGAAAGCCUGACGGAGCAACGCCGCGUGAGUGAUGAAGGUCUUCGGAUCGUAAAACUCUGUUAUUAGGGAAGAACAUAUGUGUAAGUAACUGUGCACAUCUUGACGGUACCUAAUCAGAAAGCCACGGCUAACUACGUG